RNAcentral lists this ribosomal RNA (486 nucleotides) under uncultured bacterium. Its description in RNAcentral is "bacterial SSU rRNA". It matches the Rfam family "Bacterial small subunit ribosomal RNA", at positions 28 to 507 of the family's 1533-position model. The record is from RNAcentral.
GAUGAACGCUAGCGGCAGGCUUAACACAUGCAAGUCAGGGGUAACAUAGAAAAGCUUGCUUUUCUGAUGACGACCGGCGCACGGGUGCGUAACGCGUAUACAACCUACCUUUUAGCGGGGAAUAGCCCAGGGAAACUUGGAUUAAUGCCCCAUAGUAUAUAGACUUCUCCUGAAGUUUAUAUUAAACAUUUAUGGCUAUUAGAUGGGUAUGCGUCCUAUUAGUUAGUUGGUAAGGUAACGGCUUACCAAGGCAGCGAUAGGUAGGGGUCCUGAGAGGGAGAUCCCCACACUGGUACUGAGACACGGACCAGACUCCUACGGGAGGCAGCAGUGAGGAAUAUUGGACAAUGGGCGAGAGCCUGAUCCAGCCAUGCCGCGUGCAGGAAGACUGCCCUAUGGGUUGUAAACUGCUUUUACAGAGGAAGAACCACCCCCACGUGUGGGGGUUUGACGGUACUCUGCGAAUAAGGAUCGGCUAACUCCGUG